GCGGACUCUUCAUUCCAGCCAAUCAGCAGCAGACCCUCCCUCCCAGACCCUCCCACCUCCUGGACAGCAUCCAUUUUGAAGCUGCAUUCUUAGUGAGCUGUCCAGGAGUUGGGAGGGUCUGGGAGGGAGAGUCUGCUGCUGAUUGGCUGGAUGAUGAGUCCG
Molecule: microRNA precursor, 162 nt
Filed under: Pelobates cultripes (western spadefoot toad)
Lineage: Eukaryota; Metazoa; Chordata; Amphibia; Anura; Pelobatidae
Source: RNAcentral